GAUGAACGCUAGCUACAGGCUUAACACAUGCAAGUCGAGGGGAAACGAUGAGAGAGCUUGCUCUCUUAGGCGUCGACCGGCGCACGGGUGAGUAACGCGUAUCCAACCUACCCAUUACAGGGGGAUAACCUUGCGAAAGUAAGACUAAUACCCCAUGGCAUUUUAUGGUGGCAUCAUUAUAGGAUUAAAGAUUUAUUGGUAAUGGAUGGGGAUGCGUCUGAUUAGCUUGUUGGCGGGGUAACGGCCCACCAAGGCAACGAUCAGUAGGGGUUCUGAGAGGAAGGUCCCCCACAUUGGAACUGAGACACGGUCCAAACUCCUACGGGAGGCAGCAGUGAGGAAUAUUGGUCAAUGGGCGAGAGCUUGAACCAGCCAAGUAGCGUGCAGGAUGACGGCCCUAUGGGUUGUAAACUGCUUUUAUAGGGGAAUAAAGUGGGCUACGUGUAGUUUAUUGCAUGUACCCUAUGAAUAAGGACCGGCUAAUUCCGUG
RNAcentral lists this ribosomal RNA (490 nucleotides) under uncultured bacterium. RNAcentral's name for it is "partial 16S ribosomal RNA". It matches the Rfam family "Bacterial small subunit ribosomal RNA", at positions 28 to 507 of the family's 1533-position model. The record is from RNAcentral.